This 1196-nucleotide long non-coding RNA is filed under the name Dicentrarchus labrax (European seabass). Its description in RNAcentral is "lncRNA (ENSDLAG00005028969.1)". The record is from RNAcentral. Lineage: Eukaryota; Metazoa; Chordata; Actinopteri; Moronidae.
AAAUGGUUUGUUAUACUGGAUGUGGUGAAAACCUGACAAACACUAUACAAAGAGAUAUUCUGCUGACACAAACACGAAUCCUUCCUGUUCAUGACCUUUGUCCUCAGGAUUUCUGAACAGUCUCCUUGAUGUAAACAACACACUGAGCUUUAAUCACUCAAUCAAAUCAAAGAAUCAAUAACUAAUGGUGCACACACUGUAAGCAAGCGCACCCUUUGCCCUUUGGAUCAAAUGAGUAGUACGUCAAGCCUGGGAAGUGGGAGUGCAGAUGGAAUCACUGACCAAUGAAUGAAGCUCUGAGCAGGAUUGAGCUUUACACUGCAGACACAGUCAGUGCUAAACUAUUAAAACGUGGACUUGGACUUGAACUAAAGAUGAGUAAAGUGUGGAACACUCUACAACGAUUAAAAUCUCCAAGAACAAAUAGGAUACCUUUAGUUGAUUAUUACAGCAAUGUCAGAGAAGAAGUAAACCAGGCAGAUAACAGGUACAACAACCCCUCAACCCAGAACACCUUCAACACCCACUGUCAGAGUGAAGUUCCUCCUGAUGCCUCUGAGGAUGAGUCUUGUUUCUCAGUGCGGCCUGAGACCAGUUCAGGACAGCAGAACCUGGAACACCUCAUGCAAAGAUCUGUGUCCUUCCCAAAGCCACCAGCAGAUCUUAACCAGAACCUUCAGCAGCACCUGGUAAAUGUGCAGGAAGCUGUGCGCAAUGACCUGGUGAAGCUGGGUCCCACGGGGCAAAUGGGACAUCUGAUUGAUUGCUACCAUCAUCAGACAUUUGAUCACCUCAGUGAUCUUCUCCAGAGCGUCCACUCCUUCCAGAAUACCCUUGCGCUGAUGAAGUGGGUCCUACAUACAUAUCUGAGUUCAGAGCUUCUCCAUCAUCCUGAACUUCUAGAAAUGGAUCCUGUAAAAACCGUUGACCUUCUGCUGUACACAGAAUGGGUGGAAAAAGCAAAGAACAAACUGCUUGACAAUGCGCAGAAAGAGGUCAGACGGUCCCUGGAGGAAAUCUUGCAGACAGAGAGAAGACAAGAACGUUGUGAUUGUGAGGAAGCUUACAUUGGAUUUUAUGUGGACAUUAUUCAGGUACUUAAUAAACCAGAAAUUAUAAGAGUUUCUGUUGUUACUCUGAGAGCCAAGGGGAAAGAAAAUGUUUGUGUGCAUGUAUUUGUCCAUUUAUAUCUUUUG